Molecule: ribosomal RNA, 253 nt
Filed under: uncultured bacterium
Lineage: Bacteria
Description: partial 16S ribosomal RNA
Rfam family: Bacterial small subunit ribosomal RNA
Source: RNAcentral
UACGGAGGGUGCGAGCGUUAAUCGGAAUUACUGGGCGUAAAGCGCACGCAGGCGGUUUGUUAAGCUAGAUGUGAAAGCCCCGGGCUCGACCUGGGAUGGUCAUUUAGAACUGGCAGACUAGAGUCUUGGAGAGGGGAGUGGAAUUCCAGGUGUAGCGGUGAAAUGCGUAGAUAUCUGGAGGAACAUCAGUGGCGAAGGCGACUCCCUGGCCAAAGACUGACGCUCAUGUGCGAAAGUGUGGGUAGCGAACAGG